GAUGAACGCUGGCGGCGUGCUUAACACAUGCAAGUCGAACGAAGCACCUUGAUUUGAUUCUUCGGAUGCAGAUCUUGGUGACUGAGUGGCGGACGGGUGAGUAACGCGUGGGUAACCUGCCUCAUACAGGGGGAUAACAGUUAGAAAUGACUGCUAAUACCGCAUACGACCACAGCACCGCAUGGUGCAGGGGUAAAAACUCCGGUGGUAUGAGAUGGACCCGCGUCUGAUUAGGUAGUUGGUGGGGUAACGGCCUACCAAGCCGACGAUCAGUAGCCGACCUGAGAGGGUGACCGGCCACAUUGGGACUGAGACACGGCCCAAACUCCUACGGGAGGCAGCAGUGGGGAAUAUUGCACAAUGGGGGAAACCCUGAUGCAGCGACGCCGCGUGAGCGAUGAAGUAUUUCGGUAUGUAAAGCUCUAUCAGCAGGGAAGAAAAUGACGGUACCUGACUAAGAAGCACCGGCUAAAUACGUG
This 479-nucleotide ribosomal RNA is filed under the name uncultured bacterium. Its description in RNAcentral is "partial 16S ribosomal RNA". It matches the Rfam family "Bacterial small subunit ribosomal RNA", at positions 28 to 507 of the family's 1533-position model. The record is from RNAcentral.